RNAcentral lists this ribosomal RNA (253 nucleotides) under uncultured bacterium. RNAcentral describes it as "partial 16S ribosomal RNA". It matches the Rfam family "Bacterial small subunit ribosomal RNA", at positions 524 to 776 of the family's 1533-position model. The record is from RNAcentral.
UACGAAGGGGGCUAGCGUUGUUCGGAAUUACUGGGCGUAAAGCGCGCGCAGGCGGUUUUCCAAGUCAGUGGUGAAAGCCCGGAGCUCAACCCCGGAAUUGCCAUUGAAACUGCAAAACUUGAGUACGAGAGAGGUGAGUGGAAUUCCCAGUGUAGAGGUGAAAUUCGUAGAUAUUGGGAAGAACACCGGUGGCGAAGGCGGCUCACUGGCUCGUAACUGACGCUCAGGCGCGAUAGCGUGGGGAUCAAACAGG